This 497-nucleotide ribosomal RNA is filed under the name uncultured bacterium. RNAcentral's name for it is "partial 16S ribosomal RNA". It matches the Rfam family "Bacterial small subunit ribosomal RNA", at positions 28 to 507 of the family's 1533-position model. The record is from RNAcentral.
GAUGAACGCUGGCGGCGUGCCUAAUACACGCAAGUAGAACGCUGAAGGAAGGAGCUUGCUCUUUCCGGAUGAGUUGCGAACGGGUGAGUAACGCGUAGGUAACCUGCCUGGUAGCGGGGGAUAACUAUUGGAAACGAUAGCUAAUACCGCAUAACAGUAGAUGUUGCAUGAUAUCUACUUAAAAGGUGCAAUUGUACCACUACCAGAUGGACCUGCGUUGUAUUAGCUAGUUGGUGAGGUAACGGCUCACCAAGGCGACGAUACAUAGCCGACCUGAGAGGGUGAUCGGCCACACUGGGACUGAGACACGGCCCAGACUCCUACGGGAGGCAGCAGUAGGGAAUCUUCGGCAAUGGACGGAAGUCUGACCGAGCAACGCCGCGGGAGGGAAGAAGGUUUUCGGAUCGUAAAGCUCUGUUGUAAGAGAAGAACGAGUGUGAGAGUGGAAAGUUCACACUGUGACGGUAUCUUACCAGAAAGGGACGGCUAACUACGUG